RNAcentral lists this ribosomal RNA (521 nucleotides) under uncultured bacterium. Its description in RNAcentral is "bacterial SSU rRNA". It matches the Rfam family "Bacterial small subunit ribosomal RNA", at positions 854 to 1364 of the family's 1533-position model. The record is from RNAcentral.
AACGCAUUAAGCACUCCGCCUGGGGAGUACGGCCGCAAGGCUGAAACUCAAAGGAAUUGACGGGGGCCCGCACAAGCGGUGGAGCAUGUGGUUUAAUUCGAAGCAACGCGAAGAACCUUACCAGGUCUUGACAUCCCGCUGACCGCCUAGGAGACUAGGCUUUCCCUUCGGGGACAGCGGUGACAGGUGGUGCAUGGUUGUCGUCAGCUCGUGUCGUGAGAUGUUGGGUUAAGUCCCGCAACGAGCGCAACCCUUGAUCUUAGUUGCCAGCAUUCAGUUGGGCACAUCUAGAGGUGACUCCGGUACAAACACAGCCGGAGAAAGGGGGGAAGAUCAUAUCAUCAUGCCCCCAUGCCCUGGGGGAACACACGUGUUACCAAUUGGACGGUUACAAAAGGGCGUGCAAAACCCGCGAGAGGGGAGCCCAUCCCAUAAAACCUUCUCAGUUCGGAUUGCAGGCUGCAAAAUACGCCUGCAUGAAGCCGGAAUCGCUAGUAAUCGCGGAUCAGCAUGCCGCGGUG